RNAcentral lists this ribosomal RNA (351 nucleotides) under Triticum aestivum (bread wheat). RNAcentral describes it as "partial small subunit ribosomal RNA". Lineage: Eukaryota; Viridiplantae; Streptophyta; Magnoliopsida; Poales; Poaceae. The record is from RNAcentral.
AUGACCGAGGAAGAACUGGGCCAGUAUGCUGAGAAGUUUCAGAAGUCUGGCUUCACCGGACCCCUCAACUACUACCGCAACAUGGACACGAACUGGAGGCUUACUGCACCCUGGCACGCUGCAAAGAUCACAGUGCCUGCAAAGUUCAUCGGGGGUGAGAAGGACAUCGGUGUCGAGUCCUUCGGAGUCAAGCGCUACAUCGAGAGCGGGGGUUUCAAGUCCAAUGUUCCUGACCUUGAGGUUUCCAUCAUUGAAGGCCACCAUUUCCUCCAGCAAGAGCAGGCCGAGAGGGUGAACUCUGAGAUACUGUCCUUCCUGGACAAGCUUUCUGGCAAGGAAGCACAUAAUUAA